This 26-nucleotide non-coding RNA is filed under the name Homo sapiens (human). Lineage: Eukaryota; Metazoa; Chordata; Mammalia; Primates; Hominidae. The record is from RNAcentral.
GAUGUUACCAAGCUCAAACUACCACU